UACAUAGCGUAUUAGAGGUAGACGCAGAGAACUGAAACAUCUAAGUACCUGCAGGAAGAGAAAGAAAAUUCGAUUUCCUUAGUAGCGGCGAGCGAAACGGAAAGAGCCCAAACCAACAAGCUUGCUUGUUGGGGUUGUAGGACUCAGCCAUGGUAGUGUUGAAUGAUAGUCGAAUCGACCUGGAAAGGUCAGCCGGAGUGGGUAAAAGCCCCGUAGACGAAAUCAGUCGCACACCUAUGAGUAUCCUGAGUACGGCGGAACACGUGAAAUUCCGUCGGAAUCCGGGAGGACCAUCUCCCAAGGCUAAAUACUCUCUAGUGACCGAUAGUGAACCAGUACCGUGAGGGAAAGGUGAAAAGCACCCCGGAAGGGGAGUGAAAUAGAACCUGAAACCGUGUGCUUACAACAAGUCAAAGCCCGUUAAUGGGUGAUGGCGUGCCUUUUGUAGAAUGAACCGGCGAGUUACGAUUGCGUGCGAGGUUAAGCUGAAGAAGCGGAGCCGUAGCGAAAGCGAGUCUGAAUAGGGCGAAUGAGUACGUAGUCGUAGACCCGAAACCAUGUGAUCUACCCAUGUCCAGGUUGAAGGUGCGGUAAAACGCACUGGAGGACCGAACCCACGUACGUUGAAAAGUGCGGGGAUGAGGUGUGGGUAGCGGAGAAAUUCCAAACGAACUUGGAGAUAGCUGGUUCUCUCCGAAAUAGCUUUAGGGCUAGCCUCGGACGUGUAGAAUAAUGGAGGUAGAGCCACUGUUUGGACUAGGGG
Molecule: ribosomal RNA, 763 nt
Filed under: Vagococcus sp. T4130
Lineage: Bacteria; Bacillati; Bacillota; Bacilli; Lactobacillales; Enterococcaceae
Description: partial 16S ribosomal RNA
Rfam family: Bacterial large subunit ribosomal RNA
Source: RNAcentral